GUAGGGUCGUCUCUUGAGAGC
Caenorhabditis elegans is the source of this 21-nucleotide non-coding RNA. NCBI's taxonomy places the organism in Eukaryota, Metazoa, Nematoda, Chromadorea, Rhabditida, Rhabditidae. The record is from Ensembl.